GUGCAGACAGCCCUGCCCAGGCCCCUGAGGGCGGAGGCUCCGGGGAGAGUGCCACCUGACUAAUGGAGGGUGAAACCCGGCCCGGCAGGGAGGGGGUGGUAAUAAGUCCCCAGUCUCUCUCACCUCCACCCUCCAAGCUCCUGCUGUUGCUUGCCAUGGACUGAAGCAUGGAAGCCAGAGGUGAGGGGGCUCAGGUGAUACAGUUGGUGGAACCGAGGGCAAGGCACAGGGUGUGUCUCUAGGCCAGUGGAGCACCUGAUUCCAUGCUGGGCAGAUGGAGGUGGGAGGGUGGCGGCAGACAUUCAGUAGGUUUGUGGAAUGAGCCAAACUGCCUGGGUUCACACCUACCGAGUGAUACUGGACAGUUGCGUCCCCUGUCCGUUUGUCCAUCAGAGUAGCAAACACCCUCUCUGGGAAUGUGGAGAAGCUGAAGUGAGUCUGUGUAGACUUUGUGCAGUCAGGUACAUGGUAAGCUUGUUGGUUAAAAAAGAAUAUCAUCUGCCUUUUCCAAGAGAGGACAAAGCCUCUGCCAUCUCCAGCCACCUGGCUCCUCACAGCCACUCCAGGGCCUGUAAUGUCCUCAGCUCAGUUCACGGAUGGCCCUGCCACUACCAGGCAUGCUUGCCAUCUAAAUCCCACCACGCUGCUUCUCCCCUUGUCCCCUCCUGAUUAUAGAGCAGGAGCCUGAGGCCCAGAGAGCAGAGUCACAUACCCACUAUGCUCCAGCCACUCUGAACUCCUGCCACUCCCCAGACAUACCUCGUGAAAGGAGGAUGUGGCAGAACGACAACGGGCUGGUUCUGAGCCUCGGCCUCAAGAGGACACACAUGUCCACUCGCUGUCUUGGACCCCUGCCACUGCUGCCAUGAGGACAGCCUGGGCUAGCCCACCGGAGGAUGAAGGAACUGCAGAGAGAGGCCCCAUCCACCCUCACCCAGGCCCGCCUAGACCUGACAGCCCCAGUCACCUAGGGUGACCCACUGCUUCAUUUGCCCAGGAUUGAGGGGUCACCUGGGAUGUAGGUCUUUCAGUGCUAUAACUGGGGCAGUUCCAGGCAAACCAGGACGGUUGAUCACCCUACAGUUGACUCACCAGCUGAUUCAGGUGCAGGAAUAAGCCCACCUGAGUUCAGAAGAGCUAGCCAGCUGACCUGUAAAUGCUUAUUGUUUGAAACCAAUAGAGCAUGAAUUUGGGAGGCUGAAUUUGGGAAGCCAUUUGUUAGACAGCAAAAACUAACAAGGGCACCUUCUCCAUUUCUCUGUGAAGAUCUCAGAGUUGCCCUGCACAUGCAGGGGAGCCAGUAACAGAGAUUACCUUGUGAAUGGCAGCACUUGGAAUUGUACAGGGUAGAACCCUAGAUAAACUUCAAGGCCCCAGUUCAAAUGUCACCUCUUCUGUGAAGCCUUCCCAGACUUCCCUAGAUCUAGUUUACUAGAGAAAGGGAGUCUUGUGUUCUAAAAAUGAUAAGGAUAGAAUAGGAUAAUUUAAUAGUGAGUUUAGAAAUCCCACUAGGGGACUAAAGACAGAAAGGGAAUUUUAAGGGAGUUUGAGAAACUGUUGUAAGCUAAUGACCCCUCAAGAAAAGAAUCCAGUAACCUAGCAGC
Bos taurus (domestic cattle) is the source of this 1604-nucleotide long non-coding RNA. The record is from Ensembl. NCBI's taxonomy places the organism in Eukaryota, Metazoa, Chordata, Mammalia, Artiodactyla, Bovidae.